RNAcentral lists this long non-coding RNA (248 nucleotides) under Ananas comosus (pineapple). Its description in RNAcentral is "long non-coding RNA (ACOM_LNC032084)". Lineage: Eukaryota; Viridiplantae; Streptophyta; Magnoliopsida; Poales; Bromeliaceae. The record is from RNAcentral.
CUAGCUAUUUUAUUAGUUAUCGAAAUCUCAACCGCUAACAAUUAUUGGCUUCGUUUGGAAUCGCGAAGAGAUUGUAUUACGUGCGGUGAUAAACGACGAUGAAAAAAUAUCUUAUUUGUUUUCAUACAUAAUAUUGUGUUCCGCAUAUUGCGGUUAGUCGGUUACAAUAUAUUUUCUGCGGUUUCAUCGGAGAACGCAGAAACGUAUCCUGUAUACUUUUUCUCAACUCCACCAAACUAAGCCAUAGU